Molecule: ribosomal RNA, 222 nt
Filed under: Photorhabdus luminescens
Lineage: Bacteria; Pseudomonadati; Pseudomonadota; Gammaproteobacteria; Enterobacterales; Morganellaceae
Description: partial 16S ribosomal RNA
Rfam family: Bacterial small subunit ribosomal RNA
Source: RNAcentral
UUCAAUUGAAGAGUUUGAUCAUGGCUCAGAUUGAACGCUGGCGGCAGGCCUAACACAUGCAAGUCGAGCGGUAACAGGAAAGCGCUUGCGCUUUGGCUGACGAGCGGCGGACGGGUGAGUAAUGUCUGGGGAUCUGCCCGAGGGCGGGGGAUAACCACUGGAAACGGUGGCUAAUACCGCAUAAUGUCGCGAGACCAAAGUGGGGGACCUGAAAGGGCCUCG